AAUGGAUAUUCCUCUUUAGA
RNAcentral lists this transfer RNA (20 nucleotides) under Carinigera thessalonica crassilabra. RNAcentral's name for it is "Isabellaria thessalonica crassilabra partial tRNA-Met". The record is from RNAcentral. Lineage: Eukaryota; Metazoa; Mollusca; Gastropoda; Stylommatophora; Clausiliidae.